CUUUCGUUUUCAAGUAAAUCAAAUUUAGAGAGAAAACAGUUGUUGAAAGAAAAUAUAAACUUUUGGAAUUAGUUUUUAAGGAAAAUGUGUAAAACAAUAUUUGCUGCGAUUAUUUUGAUUGUGCAUGCGCCGUUCGCGACCUGUGAAACCGCAGCGGAUGUAAAGGCUCUCAGAACAAAACUGUUCGUCACGGAUGGAUACGACUACAGGGUACGACCCACUGACGACCAGUCGUCGCCGAUCGAUGCGGUGGUGUAUGAAGCUUUGAUUAUUUCAGCGUAUAUCUGAUCCGGUCCGCUUGAUGUUCCGUUGUGUUGAUAAUGCUUGUUGUAUUUCAUUUUCUGUGAUCGGGGAGUCAAGAAUAUCAUUUGUUUCGAUGUUGCUAGUGUUGUC
Long non-coding RNA from Dreissena polymorpha, 393 nucleotides. RefSeq lists it as uncharacterized. NCBI's taxonomy places the organism in Eukaryota, Metazoa, Mollusca, Bivalvia, Myida, Dreissenidae. The transcript is spliced from 3 exons. The record is from RefSeq and is a predicted model, not a curated record.